UCCCUGGUGGUCUAGUGGUUCAGGAUUUGGCACUGUCACUAUUGUGGCUCAGGUUCAAUCCCUGGCCUGGGAA
This 73-nucleotide transfer RNA is filed under the name Sus scrofa (pig). It matches the Rfam family "tRNA". From Rfam's summary of the family: Transfer RNA (tRNA) molecules are approximately 80 nucleotides in length. Their secondary structure includes four short double-helical elements and three loops (D, anti-codon, and T loops). The record is from Rfam by way of RNAcentral. Lineage: Eukaryota; Metazoa; Chordata; Mammalia; Artiodactyla; Suidae.